RNAcentral lists this ribosomal RNA (497 nucleotides) under uncultured bacterium. RNAcentral describes it as "partial 16S ribosomal RNA". It matches the Rfam family "Bacterial small subunit ribosomal RNA", at positions 28 to 507 of the family's 1533-position model. The record is from RNAcentral.
GACGAACGCUGGCGGCGUGCCUAAUACAUGCAAGUAGAACGCUGAAGAGAGGAGCUUGCUCUUCUUGGAUGAGUUGCGAACGGGUGAGUAACGCGUAGGUAACCUGCCUGGUAGCGGGGGAUAACUAUUGGAAACGAUAGCUAAUACCGCAUAAAAUUGAUUAUUGCAUGAUAAUUAAUUGAAAGAUGCAACUGCAUCACUACCAGAUGGACCUGCGUUGUAUUAGCUAGUUGGUGAGGUAACGGCUCACCAAGGCGACGAUACAUAGCCGACCUGAGAGGGUGAUCGGCCACACUGGGACUGAGACACGGCCCAGACUCCUACGGGAGGCAGCAGUAGGGAAUCUUCGGCAAUGGGGGGAACCCUGACCGAGCAACGCCGCGGGAGUGAAGAAGGUUGUCGGAUCGUAAAGCUCUGUUGUAAGAGAAGAACGGGUGUGAGAGUGGAAAGUUCACACUGUGACGGUAUCUUACCAGAAAGGGACGGCUAACUACGUG